CGCCCCUCUUCUUUUUCUUCCGCUCUCAAAGGCAAUGUUUUCAAGUGCUUCUGGACUGUGUUGUGGAGGCGUUUGGGUAGAUAAACCAGUCUCACAGAGAUAAAUUAAUGGCAAUGGAAGAAGAGUUAUUUGGAUUUUUUAUUCAAUUACAGCUGCCAUACAAUAUUUAGAAGAGUUAAGAAAUUUCAACAAGGGGGACACACAUCAGCCCAUUACAUGAUACAAUAACAGCAGCCAAGGAAUACAAAAAUCUGAGGAAGAGUUGGGAGCUGGCAGCAAUGAACAGAAGAACCACAUUAAGCAUCACGCCGUGGAUUGUGUUUGCUGGGAGUCAGGAAUUUGGAGGAAAGUGAAGGUAGCAAGGUAUUCCAUCUGUUUCCAGCCAAGGAAACCAACUGCAACUCUGGAAAUCAACUGCAACUCUGGAAGCACUCCAAAACAUGCUGCAAAAUGCUUCAUUCCUGAGCCAAAUGCAGUUGGCCUGCGCUGUACUGGAGCUAAAAAAAGAAGAAAAUGGGGGAAGAGGAAGACUUCGUACUUAUUUCUCUCCAGUCCUGAAGGCACAAUGAAAACCAACACUUUCAGCUUGAGACUUUAACUGCCAGGGUUCCAGCAGGGUUUGUCAAAAUGCCCUAACCAAAUGUGCAUUCAUUAUUCUUUGGGAACCCCAGUUUUUGUGGCCUUUUCCACAAGCCAUUCAGACCCCAUCAGCAUCCAAAUUUUCCCAGAAGGAUGUCUCUUGAUUUUAUUUCAUCGGAGUUCAAUGUCCUGUGUGGAUGGAGCCCUCUGUUGGGCCUUAACACACAGAAGAUUAUGGCUUUUCAUGCUUAGGAUUUAUUUCUUGGCAUUCAUCUACGUGCUUUUAAAUGCUCUGUCAGACAAGCCUGGACACUGCUCACGUUUAUAUAUGUGAGGUGGGAGUGGAAGGAAAAGGGUCAAGAUUCAGGUAGAAAAGAUGUGGCACUGAGAUUGAAAUGUUGCCAAUGAGCUGUAAGUGGAGGUGCUGUGUGCAGCUUUCAGAAUAUGCUUUUAAAGAGAACAGGCAUCUCUUCACGCCCUCCCUCCCACAGGGGCCUGGAAUGUGGCUACCUGGAGCUCCAGAAGCCACCUUGGAUCACAAGGACAAAGGUCACAACUGAGAUCAUGGAGCACUCACGGGCUGUAAGGAAACAGGUCCCUGAUCAAUUUGUGUUGAACCUGCCUUGGGUACCUACUUCCUGACUUCUUUUACAUGAAAACAAAAUCAGACAUGUUUAAGCCACCAUUGUUGGAUUUUGCUGCCAUGUAAAGCUAAAGUACUCCUGGGCCAGCCGAGUGAUUCAGUUGGUUAAAAGUGUGAGCUCUGAGCAACGGGAUCGCCGGUUCAAU
This is a long non-coding RNA of Hipposideros armiger (great roundleaf bat), 1368 nucleotides long. RefSeq lists it as uncharacterized. The transcript has 4 exons. The record is from RefSeq and is a predicted model, not a curated record. Lineage: Eukaryota; Metazoa; Chordata; Mammalia; Chiroptera; Hipposideridae.